Molecule: ribosomal RNA, 284 nt
Filed under: Escherichia coli
Lineage: Bacteria; Pseudomonadati; Pseudomonadota; Gammaproteobacteria; Enterobacterales; Enterobacteriaceae
Description: partial 16S ribosomal RNA
Rfam family: Bacterial small subunit ribosomal RNA
Source: RNAcentral
AAAUUGAAGAGUUUGAUCAUGGCUCAGAUUGAACGCUGGCGGCAGGCCUAACACAUGCAAGUCGAACGGUAACAGGAAUCAGCUUGCUGAUUCGCUGACGAGUGGCGGACGGGUGAGUAAUGUCUGGGAAACUGCCUGAUGGAGGGGGAUAACUACUGGAAACGGUAGCUAAUACCGCAUAAUGUCGCAAGACCAAAGAGGGGGACCUUCGGGCCUCUUACCAUCGGAUGUGCCCAGAUGGGAUUAGCUAGUAGGUGGGGUAACGGCUCACCUAGGCGACGAUC